This 270-nucleotide ribosomal RNA is filed under the name uncultured bacterium. Its description in RNAcentral is "partial 16S ribosomal RNA". The record is from RNAcentral.
CUGCUGCCUUCCGUAGGAGUCUGGGCCGUGUCUCAGUCCCAAUGUGGCCGUUCAACCUCUCAGUCCGGCUACCGAUCGUUGACUAGGUGGGCCGUUACCCCGCCUACUAUCUAAUCGGCCGCGAGCCCAUCUUUCAGCAGAUUUCUCUUUUGGUUGUAAAUGGAUGCCCUUUUACAACGUUAUGCGGUAUUAGCAGUCGUUUCCAACUGUUAUCCCCCUCUGAAAGGUAGGUUGCUCACGUGUUACUCACCCGUCCGCCACUAAACCAUA